AGCGUUAUCCGGAAUUAUUGGGCGUAAAGAGCUCGUAGGCGGUUUGUCGCGUCUGCCGUGAAAGUCCGGGGCUCAACUCCGGAUCUGCGGUGGGUACGGGCAGACUAGAGUGAUGUAGGGGAGACUGGAAUUCCUGGUGUAGCGGUGAAAUGCGCAGAUAUCAGGAGGAACACCGAUGGCGAAGGCAGGUCUCUGGGCAUUAACUGACGCUGAGGAGCGAAAGCAUGGGGAGCGAACAGGAUUAGAUACCCUGGUAGUCCAUGCCGUAAACGUUGGGCACUAGGUGUGGGGGACAUUCCACGUUUUCCGCGCCGUAGCUAACGCAUUAAGUGCCCCGCCUGGGGAGUACGGCCGCAAGGCUAAAACUCAA
Molecule: ribosomal RNA, 370 nt
Filed under: uncultured Arthrobacter sp.
Lineage: Bacteria; Bacillati; Actinomycetota; Actinomycetes; Micrococcales; Micrococcaceae
Description: bacterial SSU rRNA
Rfam family: Bacterial small subunit ribosomal RNA
Source: RNAcentral